RNAcentral lists this long non-coding RNA (458 nucleotides) under Nicotiana benthamiana. RNAcentral's name for it is "long non-coding RNA (NBEN_LNC039194)". Lineage: Eukaryota; Viridiplantae; Streptophyta; Magnoliopsida; Solanales; Solanaceae. The record is from RNAcentral.
GGGUAUGCGUACAUCUUCUCAUAUUAUCAUUUUUAUCAUUAGAUCUUUCCAGUAUCUGAAUGAAUUUGUUUAGUGGAAUACUAUUAUUAACUAUUUAGUGUACAUCAUAGUUCUUGUCCCAAAACCAUUUUCGUUCUUUUGACGAAGUUUUAUCUCUUUUAACAAUACCUCCCCAAUUCUUGCAGUGGAGUAAAUCUGAAGAAGGUUCAACUGCAAAUAGAUUUGCAGUCUCCGAGUUUGGAGACGACAGUUUUGCCGUUGGUAGUUGGGAGCAAAAAGAGAUAGUAAGCCGUGAUGGGCAGAUGAAGCUGCAGACUGGAGUCUUCUUUGCUUCAAUGACAGUUUUGCUGUUGGUAGUUGGGAGCAAAAAGAGAUAGUAAGCCGUGAUGGGCAGAUGAAGCUGCAGACUGGAGUCUUCUUUGCUUCAAUUGAUCAACGAAAUGAACGAGCUGCAGGUG